Corapipo altera (White-ruffed manakin) is the source of this 456-nucleotide long non-coding RNA. RefSeq lists it as uncharacterized. Lineage: Eukaryota; Metazoa; Chordata; Aves; Passeriformes; Pipridae. The transcript is spliced from 3 exons. The record is from RefSeq and is a predicted model, not a curated record.
GUGUCACGAUAUGUCACACGUGUCACGAUAUGUCACGACAUGAUGGGGCCUGUCGGGAGGCGUCAGGACAUGUCGUGACAUGGAGGGGGCGCCACUGAGCAUCUCGGGGGGAGUUUUGGGGUGGUUUGGGCAGUUUUGGGAUGUGGGGACACCUCGAGGUGGGACCGGACCUGUCGCGACAUGUCACGGUGUGUCGGGGCGUGUUGGGACAUGUUGGGGCGCGUCGGGACAUGUCGGGACAGGUCGGGACACGCUGACAUGUGUCAGGACCUGCUGACGUGUGUCGCGACAUGACGUGCUGACACAUGUCAGGACAUGUUGACGUGUGUCGGGACAUGUCAGGACAUGCUGAUGUGUGUCGGGACAUGUUGAUGUGUGUCAGGAUAUGUCAGGAUGUGUCGGGACGUGUCGGGACAUGCUGACAUGUGUCGGGACACAUCGACACGUGUUGGGACA